RNAcentral lists this ribosomal RNA (253 nucleotides) under uncultured bacterium. RNAcentral's name for it is "partial 16S ribosomal RNA". It matches the Rfam family "Bacterial small subunit ribosomal RNA", at positions 524 to 776 of the family's 1533-position model. The record is from RNAcentral.
UACGAAGGGGGCUAGCGUUGUUCGGAAUUACUGGGCGUAAAGCGCGCGCAGGCGGUCUUCCAAGUCAGUGGUGAAAGCCUGGAGCUCAACUCCAGAACUGCCAUUGAAACUGUUAGACUUGAGUACGAGAGAGGUGAGUGGAAUUCCCAGUGUAGAGGUGAAAUUCGUAGAUAUCGGGAGGAACACCGGUGGCGAAGGCGGCGAUCUGGGUCGAUACUGACGCUGAGGUGCGAAAGCGUGGGGAGCAAACAGG